CCCGGUGAGUGAUGAAGGUUUUCGGAUCGUAAAGCUCUGUUGCCAGGGAAGAACGUCGUGGAGAGUAACUGCUCUGCGAAUGACGGUACCUGAGAAGAAAGCCCCGGCUAACUACGUGCCAGCAGCCGCGGUAAGCAUUAGGGGGCAAGCGUUGUCCGGAAUUACCGGGCGUAAAGCGCGCGCAGGCGGCCGCUUAAGUCUGGUGUUUAAGCCCGAGGCUCAACCUCGGUUCGCGUCAGAAACUGGGUGGCUUGAGUGCAGGAGAGGAAAGCGGAAUUCCACGUGUAGCGGUGAAAUGCGUAGAGAUGUGGAGGAACACCAGUGGCGAAGGCGACUUUCUGGCCUGUAACUGACGCUGAGGCGCGAAAGCGUGGGGAGCAAACAGGAUUAGAUACCCUGGUAGUCCACGCCGUAAACGAUGAGUGCUAGGUGUUAGGGGUUUCGAUACCCUUGGUGCCGAAGUAAACACAAUAAGCACUCCGCCUGGGGAGUACGCUCGCAAGAGUGAAACUCAAAGGAAUCAGUGGGGACCCGCACAAGUGACGGAGUAUGUGGUUUAAUUCGAAGCAACGCGAAGAACCUUACCAGGUCUUGACAUCUGGGUGAAAGCACUAGAGAUAGUGCCCCUCUUCGGAGCACCCAGAGGAGACAGGUGGUGCAUGGUUGUCGUCAGCUCGUGUCGAGAGAU
RNAcentral lists this ribosomal RNA (688 nucleotides) under Paenibacillus elgii. RNAcentral describes it as "bacterial SSU rRNA". It matches the Rfam family "Bacterial small subunit ribosomal RNA", at positions 397 to 1073 of the family's 1533-position model. Lineage: Bacteria; Bacillati; Bacillota; Bacilli; Caryophanales; Paenibacillaceae. The record is from RNAcentral.